Molecule: ribosomal RNA, 524 nt
Filed under: uncultured bacterium
Lineage: Bacteria
Description: partial 16S ribosomal RNA
Rfam family: Bacterial small subunit ribosomal RNA
Source: RNAcentral
GACGAACGCUGGCGGCGUGCCUAAUACAUGCAAGUCGAGCGCAGGAAACUGACGGAACUCUUCGGAGGGAAGGCAGUGGAAUGAGCGGCGGACGGGUGAGUAACACGUAAGGAACCUGCCUCAAGGAUUGGGAUAACUCCGAGAAAUCGGAGCUAAUACCGGAUAGUUCAACGGACCGCAUGGUCCGUUGAUGAAAGGCGCUCCGGCGUCACCUUGAGAUGGCCUUGCGGUGCAUUAGCUAGUUGGGGGGGUAACGGCUCACCAAGGCGACGAUGGAGAGCCGACCUGAGAGGGUGAGCGGCCACACUGGGACUGAGACACGGCCCGGACUCCUACGGGAGGCAGCAGUAGGGCAUCUUCCGCAAUGGACGAAAGUCUGAUGGAGCAACGCCGCGUGAGUGAUGAAGGUUUUCGGAUCGUAAAACUCUGUUGUAAGGGAAGAACACGUACGAGAGGAAAUGCUCGUACCUUGACGGUACCUUACGAGAAAGCCACGGCUAACUACGUGCCAGCCGCCGCAGUAA